UUCCGGUUGAUCCUGCCGGAGGUCACUGCUAUUGGGAUUCGACUAAGCCAUGCGAGUCGAGAGGGUUCGGCCCUCGGCUGACGGCUCAGUAACACGUGGAUAAUCUGCCCUUAGGUGGAGGAUAACCUCGGGAAACUGAGAAUAAUACUCCAUAGGCCUAGGAUGCUGGAAUGCACUUAGGCUGAAAGUUCCGGCGCCUAAGGAUGAGUCUGCGGACUAUCAGGUUGUAGUCAGGGUAAAGACCUGACUAGCCUACGACGGAUACGGGUUGUGAGAGCAAUAACCCGGAGACGAUAUCUGAGACACGAUAUCGGGCCCUACGGGGCGCAGCAGGCGCGAAAACUUCACACUGUGCGAAAGCGCGAUGAGGGAAUCCCAAGUGUUUGCUCGUAAGAGUAAACUGUUUCUUUGUUUAAAACGCAGAGAGAGUAAGGGCUGGGUAAGACGGGUGCCAGCCGCCGCGGUAAUACCUGCAGCUCAAGUGGUGAUCAUUAUUAUUGGGCCUAAAACGUCCGUAGCCGGUUUAGUAAAUGCCUGGGUAAAUCGUGUAGCUUAACUAUACGACUUCCGGGUAGACUGCUAAACUUGAGACCGGGUGAGGCUAGAGGUACUCCUGGGGUAGAGGUGAAAUUCUGUAAUCCUAGGGGGACCACCAGUGGCGAACGCGUCUAGCUAGAACGGGUCUGACGGUGAGGGACGAAGCCCUGGGGCACAAACCGGAUUAGAUACCCGGGUAGUCCAGGGUGUAAACGCUGCUUGCUUGAUGUUAGUUGGGCUCCGAGCCCAACUAGUGUCGGAGAGAAGUUGUUAAGCAAGCUGCCUGGGAAGUACGGUCGCAAGGCUGAAACUUAAAGGAAUUGGCGGGGGAGCACAGCAACGGGUGGAGCGUGCGGUUUAAUUGGAUUCAACGCCGG
This 914-nucleotide ribosomal RNA is filed under the name uncultured archaeon. Its description in RNAcentral is "bacterial SSU rRNA". It matches the Rfam family "Archaeal small subunit ribosomal RNA", at positions 1 to 921 of the family's 1478-position model. The record is from RNAcentral.